Molecule: long non-coding RNA, 1300 nt
Filed under: Mus spicilegus (steppe mouse)
Lineage: Eukaryota; Metazoa; Chordata; Mammalia; Rodentia; Muridae
Description: lncRNA (ENSMSIG00000022118.1)
Source: RNAcentral
CUGGGGAAAUACUCAGAACAGAACCACUGCAAGCGUGCCUAAGGGAGAAUUUGGUUAAGUUAACCUAGCUGUUCUCCGGUCCCAUGUGGCUAAGAUGAGUCUCAGUGGGGGCAGGGUUUCUUCAUGACUGGAGGAUCCUUUAAAAAAAAAACAUGUCUGGCCCAGAGAUAUCUACUAUUAUUUAAAUAUAGUCAAUUAUUAUUAAUAUGUUAUUAAAUUAAUCAGUAAUAAAUUAAUUAAUAAUAUUAAAUAGGAUACAGUAUUACUUAAUAUCUAUAGCCAACACUGUCAUUUGGGGACCAACAGGCUAGACUCUCCCUAUUAGAGAGCUUAAUCUGAAGGCUCAAUGUUGAAAUGAGUCUUCCUAAACAGCCUUUAAAAUGUCCUCAGUGAUGGUGUGAGACUGGCUCUUCUUUGACACAGGUUCUUCUUCAAAUUCUCCUCAGCAUCCACACUCUUGCUUAUUCCCUUAUUUAUUUGUUCAGCAGACACUGCGUUCCUAUUCUGAGCUCCAAUGGGGGGAGGGGGAGAUCAUGUGCUCACCAAGGAGUAACUGCUCUCCUGGGGUUGUGCCCUGAAGAGUAGGUGAUGGGUCCUUUUUAUCUGAUAACUGGUGUUCUCUGCUGGGGGAUGAAGGAAGGGUAAAAUCAGAAGUAGUUGGUUUUGUGCACUUAAUCCUCUUCCAACAAAAGUCUCAUGUGAAGGGACUGGGUUGGCAGAUGGUUCAGAGAGCACAGCAGAAGAAGUACAAGCAGAGGAAGGUCAGGAGGGGCCGGAAGGGGGAGGCAAACAGCAAAAGGUCUCAGCAUUCCUUCAGCCAUUGUGAUGAGCUUUGGAUGUGAUGCUAAGCAUGGUUGCCAGGGUUACCCAAAGAUUAGAAGUAAGAUAAAGUGUGUCCUCCAGGAGGUGUGCAGCGCUACGUGGAGAAAGAGCAUGACGAGUUUGGAGAUGCUCCUCAGGACAGUCCCCAGCGGCAGACCCACAGCUUUCCUCCUUGGCCGUCCUUGACUUUCCGCAAAGACCUCGACUCUUAUGAACGAGACAUCUCUUUCAGAUAUUACUCUACUUUGAAGACAGCAAGGAAAAGAAGAUUGAGAAAACUUCAGUGCGUGGUUCUUACACAGAAUCAAGAAUCAGGGUUCUCAACAGGUGCACACCUUUAAUCCCAGCACUUGGGAGGUGGCUCUCUCUGAGUUCAAGGCCAGCCUGGUCUACAGAGUGAGUUCCAGGACAGCUGGGACUACGCAGAGAAACAAACCCUGUCUUGAAAAAACAAAAUAAAACAAAAACAAAACAAACA